ACCUUUUGUAUAAUGGGUCAGCGACUUAUAUUCUGUAGCAAGGUUAACCGAAUAGGGGAGCCGGAGGGAAACCGAGUCUUAACCGGGCGUUAAGUUGCAGGGUAUAGACCCGAAACCCGGUGAUCUAGCCAUGGGCAGGUUGAAGGUUGGGUAACACUAACUGGAGGACCGAACCGACUAAUGUUGAAAAAUUAGCGGAUGACCUGUGGCUGGGGGUGAAAGGCCAAUCAAACCGGGAGAUAGCUGGUUCUCCCCGAAAGCUAUUUAGGUAGCGCCUCGUGAAUUCAUCUCCGGGGGUAGAGCACUGUUUCGGCUAGGGGGCCAUCCCGGCUUACCAACCCGAUGCAAACUGCGAAUACCGGAGAAUGUUAUCACGGGAGACACACGGCGGGUGCUAACGUCCGUCGUGAAGAGGGAAACAACCCAGACCGCCAGCUAAGGUCCCAAAGUCAUGGUUAAGUGGGAAACGAUGUGGGAAGGCCCAGACAGCCAGGAUGUUGGCUUAGAAGCAGCCAUCAUUUAAAGAAAGCGUAAUAGCUCACUGGUCGAGUCGGCCUGCGCGGAAGAUGUAACGGGGCUAAACCAUGCACCGAAGCUGCGGCAGCGACACUGUGUGUUGUUGGGUAGGGGAGCGUUCUGUAAGCCUGUGAAGGUGUGUCGUGAGGC
This 666-nucleotide ribosomal RNA is filed under the name Salmonella enterica. Its description in RNAcentral is "partial 23S ribosomal RNA". It matches the Rfam family "Bacterial large subunit ribosomal RNA", at positions 603 to 1269 of the family's 2925-position model. Lineage: Bacteria; Pseudomonadati; Pseudomonadota; Gammaproteobacteria; Enterobacterales; Enterobacteriaceae. The record is from RNAcentral.